This 87-nucleotide transfer RNA is filed under the name Julbernardia paniculata. RNAcentral's name for it is "tRNA-Ser". The record is from RNAcentral. Lineage: Eukaryota; Viridiplantae; Streptophyta; Magnoliopsida; Fabales; Fabaceae.
CUUUUGUUUACCGAGGGUUCGAAUCCCUCUCUUUCCGUAGCAUCUUUCUUUACCUAAUUCACCACUGUUACUGACUACAAUGUAUCA